Molecule: ribosomal RNA, 216 nt
Filed under: Glomeromycotina sp.
Lineage: Eukaryota; Fungi; Glomeromycota
Description: partial small subunit ribosomal RNA
Rfam family: Eukaryotic small subunit ribosomal RNA (bases 40-216)
Source: RNAcentral
GGGUCAUUAGGUUGGUCGUGCCACCGGUACGUACUGGUCUCACUGAUUCCUCCUUCCUGAAGAACCGUAAUGCCAUUAAUUUGGUGUUGCGGGGAAACAGGACUGUUACUUUGAAAAAAUUAGAGUGUUUAAAGCAAGCUAACGCUUGAAUACAUUAGCAUGGAAUAAUGAAAUAGGACGAUCGAUCCUAUUUUGUUGGUUUCCAGGAUUGACGUA